AAAUUGAAGAGUUUGAUCAUGGCUCAGAUUGAACGCUGGCGGCAGGCCUAACACAUGCAAGUCGAACGGUAACAGGAAGAAGCUUGCUUCUUUGCUGACGAGUGGCGGACGGGUGAGUAAUGUCUGGGAAGCUGCCUGAUGGAGGGGGAUAACUACUGGAAACGGUAGCUAAUACCGCAUAAUGUCGCAAGACCAAAGAGGGGGACCUUCGGGCCUCUUGCCAUCGGAUGUGCCCAGAUGGGAUUAGCUUGUUGGUGGGGUAACGGCUCACCAAGGCGACGAUCCCUAGCUGGUCUGAGAGGAUGACCAGCCACACUGGAACUGAGACACGGUCCAGACUCCUACGGGAGGCAGCAGUGGGGAAUAUUGCACAAUGGGCGCAAGCCUGAUGCAGCCAUGCCGCGUGUAUGAAGAAGGCCUUCGGGUUGUAAAGUACUUUCAGCGGGGAGGAAGGGAGUAAAGUUAAUACCUUUGCUCAUUGACGUUACCCGCAGAAGAAGCACCGGCUAACUCCGUGCCAGCAGCCGCGGUAAUACGGAGGGUGCAAGCGUUAAUCGGAAUUACUGGGCGUAAAGCGCACGCAGGCGGUUUGUUAAGUCAGAUGUGAAAUCCCCGGGCUCAACCUGGGAACUGCAUCUGAUACUGGCAAGCUUGAGUCUCGUAGAGGGGGGUAGAAUUCCAGGUGUAGCGGUGAAAUGCGUAGAGAUCUGGAGGAAUACCGGUGGCGAAGGCGGCCCCCUGGACGAAGACUGACGCUCAGGUGCGAAAGCGUGGGGAGCAAACAGGAUUAGAUACCCUGGUAGUCCACGCCGUAAACGAUGUCGACUUGGAGGUUGUGCCCUUGAGGCGUGGCUUCCGGAGCUAACGCGUUAAGUCGACCGCCUGGGGAGUACGGCCGCAAGGUUAAAACUCAAAUGAAUUGACGGGGGCCCGCACAAGCGGUGGAGCAUGUGGUUUAAUUCGAUGCAACGCGAAGAACCUUACCUGGUCUUGACAUCCACGGAAGUUUUCAGAGAUGAGAAUGUGCCUUCGGGAACCGUGAGACAGGUGCUGCAUGGCUGUCGUCAGCUCGUGUUGUGAAAUGUUGGGUUAAGUCCCGCAACGAGCGCAACCCUUAUCCUUUGUUGCCAGCGGUCCGGCCGGGAACUCAAAGGAGACUGCCAGUGAUAAACUGGAGGAAGGUGGGGAUGACGUCAAGUCAUCAUGGCCCUUACGACCAGGGCUACACACGUGCUACAAUGGCGCAUACAAAGAGAAGCGACCUCGCGAGAGCAAGCGGACCUCAUAAAGUGCGUCGUAGUCCGGAUUGGAGUCUGCAACUCGACUCCAUGAAGUCGGAAUCGCUAGUAAUCGUGGAUCAGAAUGCCACGGUGAAUACGUUCCCGGGCCUUGUACACACCGCCCGUCACACCAUGGGAGUGGGUUGCAAAAGAAGUAGGUAGCUUAACCUUCGGGAGGGCGCUUACCACUUUGUGAUUCAUGACUGGGGUGAAGUCGUAACAAGGUAACCGUAGGGGAACCUGCGGUUGGAUCACCUCCUUA
Molecule: ribosomal RNA, 1542 nt
Filed under: Escherichia coli
Lineage: Bacteria; Pseudomonadati; Pseudomonadota; Gammaproteobacteria; Enterobacterales; Enterobacteriaceae
Description: bacterial SSU rRNA
Rfam family: Bacterial small subunit ribosomal RNA
Source: RNAcentral